GACGAACCGUGCGACCGUUGUUCGGAAUCACUGGGCUUAAGGGGCGCGUAGGCGGCAGAUCAAGUCCGGGGUGAAAUCCUCCAGCUCAACUGGAGAAGUGCCUUGGAUACUGAUGUGCUCGAGGGAGGUAGGGGUCCGCGGAACUUCUGGUGGAGCGGUGAAAUGCGUUGAUAUCAGAAGGAACGCCGGUGGCGAAAGCGGCGGACUGGAUCUCUUCUGACGCUGAGGCGCGAAAGCUAGGGGAGCAAACGGG
RNAcentral lists this ribosomal RNA (253 nucleotides) under uncultured bacterium. RNAcentral describes it as "partial 16S ribosomal RNA". It matches the Rfam family "Bacterial small subunit ribosomal RNA", at positions 524 to 776 of the family's 1533-position model. The record is from RNAcentral.